RNAcentral lists this ribosomal RNA (459 nucleotides) under uncultured bacterium. RNAcentral's name for it is "partial 16S ribosomal RNA". It matches the Rfam family "Bacterial small subunit ribosomal RNA", at positions 338 to 795 of the family's 1533-position model. The record is from RNAcentral.
CCUACGGGGGGCAGCAGUGAGGAAUAUUGGUCAAUGGCCGGAAGGCUGAACCAGCCAUGCCGCGUGAAGGUCACUGCCCUAUGGGUUGUAAACUUCUUUUAUAAAGGAAUAAAACGAGGCACGUGUGCCUUUUUGCAUGUACUUUAUGAAUAAGGAUCGGCUAACUCCGUGCCAGCAGCCGCGGUAAUACGGAGGAUCCGAGCGUUAUCCGGAUUUAUUGGGUUUAAAGGGAGCGUAGAUGGGUUGUUAAGUCAGUUGUGAAAGUUUGCGGCUCAACCGUAAAAUUGCAAUUGAUACUGGCAGUCUUGAGUACAGUUGAGGUAAGCGGAAUUCGUGGUGUAGCGGUGAAAUGCUUAGAUAUCACGAAGAACCCCGAUUGCGAAGGCAGCUUACUAAACUGUGACUGACAUUGAUGCUCGAAAGUGUGGGUAUCAAACAGGAUUAGAUACCCCUGUAGUC